This 208-nucleotide ribosomal RNA is filed under the name Priestia aryabhattai. RNAcentral describes it as "Bacillus aryabhattai partial 16S ribosomal RNA". It matches the Rfam family "Bacterial small subunit ribosomal RNA", at positions 1 to 202 of the family's 1533-position model. Lineage: Bacteria; Bacillati; Bacillota; Bacilli; Caryophanales; Bacillaceae. The record is from RNAcentral.
UUCUUCGGAGAGUUUGAUCCUGGCUCAGGAUGAACGCUGGCGGCGUGCCUAAUACAUGCAAGUCGAGCGAACUGAUUAGAAGCUUGCUUCUAUGACGUUAGCGGCGGACGGGUGAGUAACACGUGGGCAACCUGCCUGUAAGACUGGGAUAACUUCGGGAAACCGAAGCUAAUACCGGAUAGGAUCUUCUCCUUCAUGGGAGAUGAUU